GCAGGCUUAACACAUGCAAGUCGAGCGGUAGCACAGGGGAGCUUGCUCCCUGGGUGACGAGCGGCGGACGGGUGAGUAAUGUCUGGGAAACUGCCUGAUGGAGGGGGAUAACUACUGGAAACGGUAGCUAAUACCGCAUAACGUCGCAAGACCAAAGAGGGGGACCUUCGGGCCUCUUGCCAUCAGAUGUGCCCAGAUGGGAUUAGCUAGUAGGUGGGGUAAUGGCUCACCUAGGCGACGAUCCCUAGCUGGUCUGAGAGGAUGACCAGCCACACUGGAACUGAGACACGGUCCAGACUCCUACGGGAGGCAGCAGUGGGGAAUAUUGCACAAUGGGCGCAAGCCUGAUGCAGCCAUGCCGCGUGUGUGAAGAAGGCCUUCGGGUUGUAAAGCACUUUCAGCGAGGAGGAAGGUGGUGAGCUUAAUACGCUCAUCAAUUGACGUUACUCG
RNAcentral lists this ribosomal RNA (450 nucleotides) under uncultured bacterium. RNAcentral describes it as "bacterial SSU rRNA". It matches the Rfam family "Bacterial small subunit ribosomal RNA", at positions 42 to 481 of the family's 1533-position model. The record is from RNAcentral.